UACGUAGGGGGCUAGCGUUGUCCGGAAUCAUUGGGCGUAAAGCGCGUGUAGGCGGCUCGAUAAGUCCGCUCUGAAAGUCGGGGGCUCAACCCUCGGAUGCCGGUGGAUACUGUCGGGCUUGAGUACGGAAGAGGCGAGUGGAAUUCCUGGUGUAGCGGUGAAAUGCGCAGAUAUCAGGAGGAACACCGGUGGCGAAGGCGGAUCUCUGGGCCGAUACUGACGCUGAGGAGCGAAAGCGUGGGGAGCGAACAGG
This 253-nucleotide ribosomal RNA is filed under the name uncultured bacterium. RNAcentral describes it as "partial 16S ribosomal RNA". It matches the Rfam family "Bacterial small subunit ribosomal RNA", at positions 524 to 776 of the family's 1533-position model. The record is from RNAcentral.